UGAGUCACUGAAGUUUAUGGAGCCCAUGGU
Molecule: non-coding RNA, 30 nt
Filed under: Homo sapiens (human)
Lineage: Eukaryota; Metazoa; Chordata; Mammalia; Primates; Hominidae
Source: RNAcentral